AAGGUACACCAAGAGGCUGCUGGGAAACCAGAGGAAAGUCCGGGCUGCUGCAAGGCAGGGGUCAGCCUAACAGGCUGCCGCCGUAAGGCGAGGGAAAGUGCCACAGAAACUAAACCGCCGAUGGAGCGUAUGCUCACAGGCAAGGGUGAAACGGUGAGGUAAGAGCUCACCAGGGGAUAUAGCGAUAUAUCCCGCUGGUAAACCCACCCCGCAGCAAGGAGGGAUGGUAAAGCCUUGCAACAAUACCCUCCGCUAAAGCGGCACUGUAAAGUGCGCGCUUAGAUAAAUAGCCUCUUAAACAGAACCCGGCUUAUAGGUGUGCCUUUUCU
RNAcentral lists this RNase P RNA (329 nucleotides) under Caminibacter mediatlanticus TB-2. RNAcentral's name for it is "RNase P RNA component class A". It matches the Rfam family "Bacterial RNase P class A". Rfam says of the family: Ribonuclease P (RNase P) is a ubiquitous endoribonuclease, found in archaea, bacteria and eukarya as well as chloroplasts and mitochondria. Its best characterised activity is the generation of mature 5'-ends of tRNAs by cleaving the 5'-leader elements of precursor-tRNAs. The record is from RNAcentral. Lineage: Bacteria; Pseudomonadati; Campylobacterota; Epsilonproteobacteria; Nautiliales; Nautiliaceae.